GACGAACGCUGGCGGCGUGCUUAACACAUGCCAGUCGAACGGAAAGGCCCUGCUUGCGGGGUACUCGAGUUGCGAACGGGUGGGUAACACGUGGGUGAUCUGCCCUGCACUUCGGGUUAAGCCUGGGCAACUGGGUCUAAUACCGGCUAGGAGACAUUUUUAGUGUGAUGGUUGGAAAGUUUUGUCGGUGUAGGAUGAGAUCGCGGCCUAUCAGCUUGUUGGUGGAGUAAUGGACUACCGAGGCGGCGACGGGUAGCCGGCCUGCGUGGGUGGACGGCCACAUUGGGACCGAGAGGCGGCCCAGACACCGACGGGAGGCAGCAGGGGGGAAGAUUGCACAAGGGGCGCAAGCCUGAUGCAGCGACGCCGCGGGGGGGAGGACGGCCUUCUGGUUGUAAACUCUUUUCGCUAGGGACGAAGCUUUUUGUGACGGUACCUAGACAAGAAGCACCGGCUAACUACGUG
This 465-nucleotide ribosomal RNA is filed under the name uncultured bacterium. RNAcentral describes it as "partial 16S ribosomal RNA". It matches the Rfam family "Bacterial small subunit ribosomal RNA", at positions 28 to 507 of the family's 1533-position model. The record is from RNAcentral.